This is a long non-coding RNA of Rosa rugosa (rugosa rose), 4283 nucleotides long. RefSeq lists it as uncharacterized. The transcript has 3 exons. NCBI's taxonomy places the organism in Eukaryota, Viridiplantae, Streptophyta, Magnoliopsida, Rosales, Rosaceae. The record is from RefSeq and is a predicted model, not a curated record.
UAAUAACCUAGUUUUUUUUAAUCAAACAAUUUGGUGGCAAACACCGGUUCCGUGAUUUAAGGUUAGUGGACAAUUGCAUAAUUUGAAGGCCGGUGCUUUAACAUGAUUAUGCAUGAGUGGAAGAACGAAUCAAUUAAGCUAAGAAACGAAUUCUCUCUCUCUCACGUCCGAAACCACCCAAAACAGAGCAAAACUUCUCCAAACUCUCUCUCACUCCACCGGCCACCAAUCAAGACCAGAACACUUCCUAUAGCUUCGCCUCGACCUUGCGCAGCUGCAGGUGGCAGCCUUGAACCACGACACGGCCACCAGCGGCGGCGGGAAGCUCCGCCCGGUUUGAGCUCGUUUUGGUUCCAAGCUUGAUAUCUCAAGCUACCGGCCAACAAUCCUCACCAAACUUCACCCACGAGCUCGCCUCAACGUCCUGAAGCUCCCAGAAGUGGCCUUGCACGGCGGCGCUACUCGUGGUGGCGGCUGGAAGCCAGACCCGAUCAAAUCGAAAACCGAAGCUUCGAUCGGUAUAUCUCGAGCUGUAGUGCAUCGUUUUGAUUGAUUCUUUUUCCAGUGGGUUCCCCUUGAUGUUGUUAACAACUCUCUAGAAGGCAUCGAGGCCUGAAAUUGAAGUUUUUACGUCGAUCGGAGCCCUCGCCGGAUUCUGCAAAAUUCUGCAAAUUUUCCGACCACCGAAGCUUUCGAUCGGUAUAUCUCGAGCUACAGACCAUAUUUUUCUGUGAUUCUUGAACCAAUGCGUUCGUCUUGAGUUUCUUAACAACUCUCUAGAAGGAAUCGAAGCCUGAAAUUGAAGUUUUGACGUCGAAAUCAAGCCUUGCCGGAUUCUGCAAAUUUCGCCGGAUUCUGGAAAUUUUCCGGCCACCUCGACUGUUCUAGGUUAUCGACGGAUUGAUUUGGUGGACGAUUCGGAUUGAUGUAUUUGGCUUUUUAGAAGACGCAGCUGGAUUAGAGCGGGAAAUCCUACAGGUCAGGAAGAUCAAGGCGGAGAUCGUGCGGGUUAGAGUUUUUGUUUCAGUUUACAGCUUUGUAAAUUGUGAGAUGUAUUAUUAAGAGGUGUGAAGUGUGGUUGUUGUGAGAAAAAAAUUCAGGACGUUUAUUCUAUUAAGUUGUAUAAUUCAUGUUUCGGAUUUUAAUUGUAUUUAAAAUUCGGGGCGUGACAGUUUGGUAUCAGAGCGUAAGGUACAUAUUUGGUGACGUGUCAAUACCUUCCGAGUGAUGGCCCGUCUGCAGCGGAUCCCCAUCGUGCGCUCUUCGGUAUUGGCUAAGUCAUUGGGUAUGUGUGAGUGUUGGAAGUUGUUUAGGCCGCUAAGUCGUUUUAGGAACGUUAACACCUUCCCUGUAGUAUUGACUUGGUUAAUAUGGACUUGUAUUUGACUUAUACUGUGUUUUAAGUGUUAUACGUGUAUUAGCCAAGCAUACUAUAUUUCUUAGGUGUUGAAUAUUCGAAGGAGUAGUACUUAGAACUACAGAGUUGUCUUGUAGGUUCGUAUUUGAAUAAGUUCAGUUACCGCGAGUUAUAAUCUUUAAGGGAUGGAAACCUUCGGAUUUAACUCUAUUGAGUUAGGGUGAUUGUUUUAUGGAAGUGAGGUUCUUUUGGAUGUUGAGGUGUUUGGUUGAAGGCAUGAUGUUGGCCUAUGCACGUACCUAGUGUGGAUACGAGUAUGAAUUGAUGGAAUUUUUGCCUUAUUAGGUUGGAUAUACAGAUGUUUUUGAUUUGAUUCUUGACUCAUGUGGAGUGGUGGGUAGUAUUGCGGUUUGGGAAUGAAUUAUUGUGGUUAAUUCUUCCAUGUGUUUGUAAGUUGAUGAGCAGGGUUUAAGUUGUGAGAAAGGAGUUUGAUCUCGUGUUUGAGUGAUUGAGACGAACGACUAUAUAUUUGAGGUUGUUUUGUGUUUUAAGUUUAUGUAGACGGGACACUUAAAGUUUUGAAAUAGAGUUUGAUUUUUAGUUGAUAGAUAAUGGGGAGAAUUAGAAUCAACUCUUUGUUAAUGAUCUUGGACGAGAGUGUGUUUCUAUGGUUAUGGAUUUUAGGUGAAAUGGUUAAAUACAAUUUUGGGUAUUGAUGAUAGUGACAUGAUUGGGUAUCCAUAGUGGUUCAAGUGAAUUACUAUGCGGUAUGGAGUUGAUUCGAUGUAUGAAUCGUGAAAUCUUAGGGUUGAAUUAUGGUAAGUUUGAUGGAGCAUGUUUUAGAGGGAAUGGUUGAGAUUUUAUAAGACUAGCACGAGUAACUCUAAGGAUGUGAGUUUUCCUAGUUAACUCAGGAAGUGUUUAGCUUUAUUAAUCCCUAAUUCUAGCGACGAAAUUAUUGUGUUUGGUUUGACUCAGAGGAUACUAGCUUGACCUCUGUGCAACUUAAUUGAUUGUUUGUGAUAAAUCAUUAUGAUUGAUGUGUGCAGCAGAGUUGUCAAUGGUUUUGAAAAUAGUAUUGGGUGACCAAGGUUGAUCCUUGGUGUUGUUGUUGGUUUAACAAAAAGAAGAAACGACAUACAUGCAAUCUUAUUGAUUUUAUAUUACAAAAAGGGAAACGAGGACUAUGCUAUACUAAGCCUAGUCAGCAGCUCCGGUUGGAUUGAGGCUGAGCUCAAGAGAAACGUUUGAGCCACUGUGGUAACCGCCUGAGCCACCAGAAUAGUGACCAAAUGCGCUACCUUCCUCGGAAGUAGUCUUCGGGUUACCAAAGACGUCCUCGCCGUGCACGGGGAACAGAGGAAGAGUUUCAACCUCCUGGUGAUCUCCUCCUCGUUGUUGCAGGGAUGUUUGUCCUCCUGUUGUGCCAAAAGAGUUGUACUGGUAUUAGUGUUGAAGUGUGAGGAAGAAUACGAAACAAAAUUUAUAUCAAGAAAUCCUUCAUUACCAGUAGAAUCGGUGGAACUAAAGUUGAGAUUAAUGGAUCUACCAUCAUCGGUAGAACUAGUGGACCCAAAAUUGAUGUCGAUGGAUCCACCAGCAUCAGUAGAACUAGUGGGCCCAAAAUUGAGAUCGAUGGAUCCACCAACACCAGAAGAACUAGUUACCUUGGGCACCUGAACGCCCUGAUUUAACCUCUUCUUCUGCUUCUCUCGAGCCUUGAGGUUCUAAAACCAAAAAAAAGACGUUCUUGUCCUCAAUCUGCCCAUACUGUUUCAGAUGGAGACAAAUCUCCUGAAUCUGCUCUAUAGUUAGGUACUUAACUCCCUUGUCAUAGUAGAGCCCCUGAAGGAUUCUUAGUUGAGCUGGUGUGGGAGUCCACCGGUUAUUGGCUGGCCUGAUAGGCGUGUUGGCACUACUCCCGGCUGCUUGGUUGCUUCCUUCCUCCUCGGUGGGUUGCUGGGCUUGUAGUUCCAUUUGUUGCUGGGCUUGUAGUUCCAUUUGUUGCUGGGUUUGAAGUUCCAUUAGUUGCAGAGUUCGUGGUUCCAUGGUGAUGAGUUGAGAGGAAGUGUAAAUUGAAGAACGAAGUUGUUGAGUGUUUGAGGGAGAUUUUGUUAGAAGGAUUGGAGUUGUUGAACUGGUGAUUGGAGAUCUGAGAUUCUCAGAGGAAAGAUGAGAUCGAAUCUUCAAAUGGAAGAAAAGAUCUGAGAAAGAAGGAUUGAAGAUUUGGAGGAAAAGAUUGAAGAUCUGAAAGUUCAGAGGAAAGAUGGGAUUGAAUCAACUAGAUGGGAGAGAAGAUCAGAAGAGAAGGAUUGAAAUUGAUGAAGAAAGGAUUUGAGUUUCGAGAGGAAGGCUGAAGAGUUUGAGAGAGAUUGGCUGGGAAAAAUUUCUUUUCUUUGGUGUGAACAGUUUUUCUCCAGGAUGCACCUAUUUAUAGAACGAGGUGAGCAGAUCUCCACCGUUGGAUGGACGAUCUCUGAGAUUCAAUCUACGCGUUGGAUUAAAGUCAUCCGAAAACCCGGAAAAGUUGUUGGCGCGUGGAGAGCGUGUAAGGGGACAGGCCGAACCUCGAGACGCUGUGGCAGACAGCUUUAGCCGAAAGUGAUUUGCUUUCCGUAAAUCACGGAAGAGACGUGUCGUGGCACGUGGAGUGUACCGACAGUUUGUUGUUAUUCUAUCGCUUAUGAUAGAAUAAAUAAAAGAAGUUGCAUGGAUAGUAACGAGAGCAGCUGGUGCUCUAGUGGUUGAAGAGCAAGGCUCUUGUACAAGAGGUCAGAGGUUCGAACCUUGCCUCUCGUUUAUUUUUAUUAUGUUCGCUUAUGACAUAAUAAGUAUAACAUUUGUACACAUUAUAUUAAGCACAGCUUGUGCUCCAGUGGUUGGGGACAAAGGUUUCGUGCAGCAGGUUGAGGUUUCGAGCCUUGCC